This 393-nucleotide ribosomal RNA is filed under the name uncultured bacterium. Its description in RNAcentral is "bacterial SSU rRNA". It matches the Rfam family "Bacterial small subunit ribosomal RNA", at positions 29 to 412 of the family's 1533-position model. The record is from RNAcentral.
AACGAACGCUGGCGGCGCGCCUAAUACAUGCAAGUCGAGCGAGAAGACGUAGCAAUACGUUUGUAAAGCGGCGAACGGGUGAGGAAUACAUGGGUAACCUACCCUAGAGUGGGGAAUAACUAGCCGAAAGGUUAGCUAAUACCGCGUACGCUCCUUGGACUUCGGUUCAGGGAGGAAAGCGAUGCCGAGGGUAUCGCGCUCUUGGAUGGGCUCAUGUCCUAUCAGCUUGUUGGGAGGUAACGGCUCACCAAGGCUUCGACGGGUAGCUGGUCUGAGAGGACGAUCAGCCACACUGGCACUGCGACACGGCCCAGACUCCUACGGGAGGCAGCAGUGGGGAAUCUUGCGCAAUGGGCGAAAGCCUGACGCAGCGACGCCGCGUGAGGGGAUGAC